Molecule: ribosomal RNA, 249 nt
Filed under: uncultured Actinomycetes bacterium
Lineage: Bacteria; Bacillati; Actinomycetota; Actinomycetes
Description: uncultured actinobacterium partial 16S ribosomal RNA
Rfam family: Bacterial small subunit ribosomal RNA
Source: RNAcentral
GACGAACGCUGGCGGCGCGCCUCAUACAUGCAAGUCGAACGAGAAACUCGGAGCUUGCUCCGGGUGGACAGUGGCGAACGGGUGAGUAACACGUGAGAAACCUGCCCCGAAGACCGGGACAACACCAGGAAACCGGUGCUAAUACCGGAUGUCCUUACCGGACCGCAUGAUCUGGUAAGGAAAUGGAUUCCGCUUCGGGAUGGUCUCGCGGCCUAUCAGCUUGUUGGCGGGGUAACGCCACCAAGGCAA